RNAcentral lists this ribosomal RNA (467 nucleotides) under uncultured bacterium. RNAcentral describes it as "partial 16S ribosomal RNA". It matches the Rfam family "Bacterial small subunit ribosomal RNA", at positions 28 to 507 of the family's 1533-position model. The record is from RNAcentral.
GACGAACGCUGGCGGCGUGCUUAACACAUGCAAGUCGAACGGAAAGGCCCUGCUGUUGUGGGGUGCUCGAGUGGCGAACGGGUGAGUAACACGUGAGUAACCUGCCCUUGACUUUGGGAUAACUGCAGGAAACUGGGGCUAAUACCGGAUAGGAGCUCCUGCUGCAUGGUGGGGGUUGGAAAGUUUCGGCGGUUGGGGAUGGACUCGCGGCUUAUCAGCUUGUUGGUGGGGUAGUGGCUUACCAAGGCUGUGACGGGUAGCCGGCCUGAGAGGGUGACCGGCCACAUUGGGACUGAGAUACGGCCAGACUCCUACGGGAGGCAGCAGUGGGGAAUAUUGCACAAUGGGCGGAAGCCUGAUGCAGCAACGCCGCGUGCGGGAUGACGGCCUUCGGGUUGUAAACCGCUUUCGCCUGUGACGAAGCGUGAGUGACGGUAAUGGGUAAAGAAGCACCGGCUAACUACGUG